GCCCCUGUGGCCUAAUGGAUAAGGCACUGGCCCCUUAAGUCAGGGACUGUGGGUUUGAGUCCCACCUGGGGAA
Molecule: non-coding RNA, 73 nt
Organism: Bos taurus (domestic cattle)
Lineage: Eukaryota; Metazoa; Chordata; Mammalia; Artiodactyla; Bovidae
Source: Rfam